UAUUUUUUAUAAAUAUAUAUUUACGGCUCCUGAGUAAGUCAUCUAUGGUAUUACUCAAAAGCCUUAAGAAUUUUAGAAGAAAGUAAUGCUUGUGUAUAAAAUGGUCCUCUGUUCCUCAGUGUCGUCAUAAACAGUCUUCUACUUUUUUUGGCUUGAAGAAGCUGGAUUCCGUUUCCUCUCUUGCUUGAGAUUUUAUUGUUAUUGACCAAAGAAUCUUGGACGUGAGUUAUCCAUUUCUUUAAAAUUUUUCCUAUUAACCGAGUGUUUUAGAGAGGUACAAAAGUAUUCAACCGUGAAAUGAUCUGCUGUCGACCUUCGAAUUCGAUGCUGGUCUCCAAAUACUUGCUCGACUGCGCAAACGUACCAAUUUGGUGCUCAAUUUCUCUUGCCGUUGGCUACAAAAUCUUAAAGACUUCGUCUCUAGACAUACGAGACUUGCGCUAUAUGUGACUUACCGUUUGUUAAAUCAGUCAUUCUUAGUCAACUAGGAUUUCGUCGCAAAAGAGGACCAUCGUGGAUGUCCAAUGCAAAAUAGAAUAUUGUCAUAGGAAUUGUAAGAAGUCAGUUUUUUCAACAGCGCUGGUGCGAAAUAUGCAGAUUCUAGAAAAAUGGCAUAUCCUUCUUUCUAAAAAAAGUAAGAUCAUCACAGGACUCUCUUUAUCGUAGAAGAUAAUCGUAACACUUUAACAGAAAAUCGAAACCUUUGAAAUUUUUUUCCAGAAAAUCUCGUAGAAUUUUAUUUUCUUUUAAGGAGAAGCAUCGCAUCAUUUUAUCAUAAAAAAGUUGUCAUCGCUGAGUUGAUUUUUUGAAUAAAUUAGUAAUACUAAGAUUUUCAGGACGAUAUAAUUAAUCAUCAUCGCGAAGUCAUAGAUUAACUGCAUCACAAAAUUAUCAUGGAAUUUUAUUGUUAUAUUUAAAAAUAUAAUCGCGUGACGAAAAAAAGGGUCAUUGCAAGAUUUCAUUGCAGAAGAGGAUUAUCACGGGAUUUCGUCAUACAAAAUCAUCGUAGAAUUCCAUUGCAGAAGAGGACCAUAGUGGAAGAUCACAGAACUUUAUCAGAAAAAGGAUUAUUGCGGGAUUUCAUCGCGGAAGAUCGUGGGAUCUUGAUGCAGAAGAGGAUCAUAUAACGAAAUUUCGUCAUACAAGAUCAUAGAAUUCCAUUGCAAAAGAGAACCAUCGUGAAAGAUCAUUAUAGAACUUUAUCA
Long non-coding RNA from Trachymyrmex septentrionalis, 1205 nucleotides. RefSeq lists it as uncharacterized. Lineage: Eukaryota; Metazoa; Arthropoda; Insecta; Hymenoptera; Formicidae. The record is from RefSeq and is a predicted model, not a curated record. The transcript has 2 exons.